Molecule: long non-coding RNA, 3189 nt
Filed under: Homo sapiens (human)
Lineage: Eukaryota; Metazoa; Chordata; Mammalia; Primates; Hominidae
Description: HSALNT0341594
Source: RNAcentral
ACCCCCGCCGCGGCGGCCGCUGACCUGUACCCGCGGUGGCCGCGGUAGCAGGAGGCCGGGCAGUCACAGUCCACUGGGCCGUCGUCAUCGUCAAAGGGCGCGUACUCCAGGCCCGGCUCAGCGCCCUCGGUCAGCCGCGGGGUCUCCGCCACACUGCCGGCGACAGGGACGCUCACCACCAGUCUCGGGACGACUUUUCUUCACCCCUUUUCUCGGCGCAGGGGGCCUGACCUAGCCCCGCAAGUCUGCGGGCUGCUACCCGGCUGGGGGAGGGGCGAGGGGUAACUGCGGCCCCUGGCCUUACAGGGCUAGGCAGAGAUUUGGGGAACCCAACGGGGCACAUCCCCUACAGGUCCCCGACCUCACGGUACAAUCUUUUGCAAAAAAGAAGGAGAUAACCGAGCCCCUUAUUUAGCCCGCACCCCUUCUGAGUUCUCACCAUCUCAGUAAGCCCCCUCCUCUUUUUUUUUUUUUUAAUUUUGGAGAUAGGGUCUUGCUCUGUUGCUCAGGCUGGGUUGCAGCGGUGGGAUCAUAGCUCACUGCAGCCUUGAACUUCUGGGCCCAAGCGAUCCUUCCUCCUCAGCCUCUUGAGUAGCUGGGACUACAGGCGUGGACCCCUACCCUGGCUAAUUUGAAAAAUUUUGCAGAGACGGGGUCUCACUAUGUUGCUCAGGCUGGUUUCGAACUCCUGGCCUCAAGCGAUCCUCCCGUUUGAUCUCUCAAAGUGCUGGAAUUCCAGGCAUGAGCCACCCUGCAGUCGUGGGUGGGGUGUGUGUGGCUACUCCUUAGAUGAGGCUCCUCUUCUUCACUGAAUCCCCUCCAUAUCCUAGCCCCAUUCAUUGAAGCCCUCCCCCUCAGUGAACCCCCCAUUUGAUCCCUGUGCCCCUAACCCUACUGUCCUAUUCUGGGAACCCCAUCCCCACCCCUCCUUUCUCUCACUGAACCCUAAUUUCUCUUUUCUUUUCUUUCUUUUUUUUUUCAGUCUCACUCCGUUGUCCUGGCUGGAGUGCAGGGGCCCGAUCUCGCCUCACUGCAACCUCUGCCUGCUGCAGUCUCCUGCAAUCUCACCUCACUGCAACCUCCGCUUCCUGGGUUCAAGUGAUUCUCCUGCCUCAGCCUCCCGAGUAGCUGGGAUUACAGGUGCCCGCUAAUUUUUGUAUUUUUAGUAGAGAUGGGGUUUCUCCAUGUUAGUCAGGCUGGUAUGGAACUCCCGAUCUCAGAUGAUCUGCCAGCUUUGGCCUCCCAAAGUGCUGGGAUUACAGGCGUGAGCCACCGCGCACGGCGAACUCUAAUUUCUUCCUUUUUUUUUUUUCUUUUUCUUUUUCUUUUUUUUUUUUUUUUUUUUGAGAUGGAGUCUCACUCUGUCGACUAGGCUGGAGUGCAGUGGCAUGAUCUCAGCUCACUGCAUCCUCCGCCUGCUGGGUUCAAGCAAUUCUCCUGCCUCAGCCUCCCGAGUAGCUGGGACUACAGGCAUGCACCACCACGCCCAGCUAAUUUUUUGUAUUUUUAGUAGAGACGGGGUUUCACCAUGCUGGCCAGGCUGGUCUUGAACUCCUGACCUUGUGAUCCACCCACCUUGGCCUCCCAACGUGCUGGGAUUACAGGCGUGAGCCACCGCGCCCGGCAAACUCUAAUUUCUUAAAGAGCCCCUUCCUCCUGGCCUAUCUCCGCCCUCCCCGAGCCCUGGCUCAAUGAUGUGGGUCUUUCCUCACCUGGGUGUCCUAGUCCCUGAGCCCCCUCCCGCUGGCUGAGUGCCUCCCUGCCCCGCUUCCCCUCCUUUCCUCCAGCCCGGCCUCUGUCGCUGAAAUAUUCAUAGCCUCUCCUCGCCCUCCCCUCUGCAGCCUCCAGGGGCCCCCCCUGCUCAUCUCUGGCAGCAGGACUGUGCUCAUCAAUCAAGCCUGGUGGCAGAGGGUGGGGGCCUCCAAUACUCCCUAUCCAUCUUACAGAACUCUCCUUUUCGCUCAGCAGGGACCAGACACCUCCUGUCCCUGCUCCCGCAGCCCCAGCCAGCCUCUGCCACAGAUGUUGGCUCCCUACAGGCUCUUCUCAGAGCGCUUCUUUUUUUCUAGAGGUAGCUGGGCUGGAGGCAAGAGCAUGAGAUUUGAAGCUCCAGACAAGGGCUCAUCCUGCACUGUCCUGAGCCGCCUUGUGACCUGGAGCCUGCCGUGUCCCUCUGUGAGCCUCUUCUCGAAGAUGAGAAAACUGAGGUGCAGAGAAGAAAAGGAACAUUCCCUAUGAUGUCAAGACCUUUUAGUAAAGCAUAUACGUUGAGUCUAAGGUGAGAGGAUCACUUGAGACUGGGAGUUUGAGAGCAGCCUGGGCAACAUAGUAAGAUCACAUUUCUACAAAUCAAAUUACAUGAGGCCAGGCCCGGUGGCUCACGCCUGUAAUCUCAGCACUUUGGGCCAAGGUGGGCAGAUCACUUGAGGUCAGGAGUUCGAGACCAGCCUGGCCAACAUGGCAAAACCCCAUCUCUACUAAAAAUACAAAAAUUCGCUGGGCAUGGUGGCACAUGCCUAUAAUCCCAGCUACUUGGGAGGCUGACGCAGGAGAAUCACUUGAACCCGGGAAGCGUAGGUUACAGUGAGCAGAGAUCAUAGAGCUGCACUCCAGCCUGGAUGACAGAGUGAGACUCUGUCUCAAAAACAAACAAGCAAACACCUAUAUAAGUUCAUCUAGCAACUGGCUUUGAGAAUUCAUGUGCAAAUGACACAGCCCUUGAAUGCGCUGGCUGACCUUCCCUGCUGGAGAUGUAAGCCAGCAUGAGGUCUUCCAGCUCACUCAUCCCCUUCCGACUCGAUAGAUACUGUUGUGGGUGUGUGCUCUCUGAGUCCUAAAUUUGUUUAAUGUUUUAUGCUCUUAAAUUUUCAUGUUUUCUUUUUCAAUUAUUUUUGUUUUUAUUUAUUUUUUGAGACAGAGCCUUAUUCUGUUGCCAAGGCUGUAGUGUGGUUGCGUGAUCUUGGCUCAGUGCAAACUCCACCUCCUGGGUUCAAGAAAUUUUCCCACCUCAGCUCCCAGCUCCAGAGUAGCUGGGAUUGCAGGCGUGUGCCACCAUGCUCAGCUAAUUUUUUGUAUUUUUAGUAGAGAUGGGGGUUUCACCGUGUUGGCCAGGCUGGUCUUGAACUCCUGACCUCAAGUGAUCCAACCGCCUCAGCCUCCCAAAAUGCUGGGAUUACAGGUAUGAACCAC